GCCGCUAUAGCUCAGUUGGUAGAGCAGCUGACUUGUAAUCAGCAGGUCCACAGUUCGAAUCUGUGUGGCGGCA
This 73-nucleotide transfer RNA is filed under the name Pseudomonas phage D6. It matches the Rfam family "tRNA". From Rfam's summary of the family: Transfer RNA (tRNA) molecules are approximately 80 nucleotides in length. Their secondary structure includes four short double-helical elements and three loops (D, anti-codon, and T loops). Further hydrogen bonds mediate the characteristic L-shaped molecular structure. tRNAs have two regions of fundamental functional importance: the anti-codon, which is responsible for specific mRNA codon recognition, and the 3' end, to which the tRNAs corresponding amino acid is attached (by aminoacyl-tRNA synthetases). tRNAs cope with the degeneracy of the genetic code in two manners: having more than one tRNA (with a specific anti-codon) for a particular amino acid; and 'wobble' base-pairing, i.e. permitting non-standard base-pairing at the 3rd anti-codon position. The record is from Rfam by way of RNAcentral. Lineage: Duplodnaviria; Heunggongvirae; Uroviricota; Caudoviricetes.